GACGAACGCUGGCGGCGUGCUUAACACAUGCAAGUCGAACGCUGAAGCUCAGCUUUUGUUGGGUGGAUGAGUGGCGAACGGGUGAGUAACACGUGAGUAACCUGCCUCCUUCUUUGGGAUAACGCCCGGAAACGGGUGCUAAUACUGGAUAUUCACUGGUCUUCGCAUGGGGGUUGGUGGAAAGGGUUUUUCUGGUGGGGGAUGGGCUCGCGGCCUAUCAGCUUGUUGGUGGGGUGAUGGCCUACCAAGGCUUUGACGGGUAGCCGGCCUGAGAGGGUGACCGGUCACAUUGGGACUGAGAUACGGCCCAGACUCCGACGGGAGGCAGCGGUGGGGAAUAUUGCACAAUGGGCGCAAGCCUGAUGCAGCGCCGCCGCGUGAGGGAUGGAGGCCUUCGGGUUGUGAACCUCUUUCGCUCAUGGUCAAGCCGCAACAAUGGUUGUGGUGAGGGUAGUGGGUAAAGAAGCGCCGGCUAACUACGUG
RNAcentral lists this ribosomal RNA (483 nucleotides) under uncultured bacterium. RNAcentral's name for it is "partial 16S ribosomal RNA". It matches the Rfam family "Bacterial small subunit ribosomal RNA", at positions 28 to 507 of the family's 1533-position model. The record is from RNAcentral.